RNAcentral lists this microRNA (19 nucleotides) under Tribolium castaneum (red flour beetle). RNAcentral describes it as "tca-miR-6014-3p". The record is from miRBase by way of RNAcentral. Lineage: Eukaryota; Metazoa; Arthropoda; Insecta; Coleoptera; Tenebrionidae.
AAUUUCCCGUGUUGAGUGG